This 301-nucleotide ribosomal RNA is filed under the name uncultured bacterium. RNAcentral's name for it is "bacterial SSU rRNA". It matches the Rfam family "Bacterial small subunit ribosomal RNA", at positions 338 to 653 of the family's 1533-position model. The record is from RNAcentral.
CCUACGGGGCGCAGCAGUGGGGAAUAUUGGGCAAUGGGCGCAAGCCUGACCCAGCAACGCCGCGUGAAGGAAGAAGGCUUUCGGGUUGUAAACUUCUUUUAUGAGGGACGAAAGAAGUGACGGUACCUCAUGAAUAAGCCACGGCUAACUACGUGCCAGCAGCCGCGGUAAUACGUAGGUGGCAAGCGUUAUCCGGAUUUACUGGGUGUAAAGGGCGUGUAGGCGGGACUGCAAUUCAGAUGUGAAAAUUAUGGUCUCAACCCAUAACCUUCAUUUGAAACUUUAGUUCUUGAGUGAUGGA